Molecule: RNA transcript, 301 nt
Organism: Zea mays
Lineage: Eukaryota; Viridiplantae; Streptophyta; Magnoliopsida; Poales; Poaceae
Exons: 1
Source: RefSeq, marked validated
AAUCUGGUCAAAUUUUCAUUGUUAAUAUGGACUCCUUUGUUCUAAGAGCAGCUAAGCCUUAUUUGGCCACUAUAGGAGCAACUGUUCAUGGUCAUUAUGGAAAAAUCCUUUACAAAGGAGAUAGGUUAGUUACGUUUAUAUAUGAAAAAUCGAGAUCCAGUGAUAUAACGCUAUUCACUAAAUCAAAUCCUUCUCUAAAUAUUUCCACCAUUCCUCGGUAUGAUUUUCAACGUAUUUGGAUUUUUCACUAUAGAAAAUAUCUCUCUAUCGUUGUUUUUUUCUCAUGUACGUAAACUUCCUA